AUACAGCUGACGAGUCCCAAAUAGGACGAAACACGCGUCCUGGAU
Molecule: non-coding RNA, 45 nt
Organism: Schistosoma mansoni
Lineage: Eukaryota; Metazoa; Platyhelminthes; Trematoda; Strigeidida; Schistosomatidae
Source: Rfam